RNAcentral lists this ribosomal RNA (829 nucleotides) under uncultured bacterium. RNAcentral describes it as "bacterial SSU rRNA". It matches the Rfam family "Bacterial small subunit ribosomal RNA", at positions 33 to 860 of the family's 1533-position model. The record is from RNAcentral.
ACGCUGGCGGCAUGCCUAACACAUGCAAGUCGAACGGCAGCACAGUGGUAGCAAUACCAUGGGUGGCGAGUGGCGGACGGGUGAGUAAUGCAUCGGGACCUACCCAGACGUGGGGGAUAACGUAGGGAAACUUACGCUAAUACCGCAUACGUCCUACGGGAGAAAGCGGGGGAUCUUCGGACCUCGCGCGGUUGGACGGACCGAUGUUCGAUUAGCUAGUUGGUAGGGUAAUGGCCUACCAAGGCGACGAUCGAUAGCUGGUCUGAGAGGAUGAUCAGCCACACUGGAACUGAGACACGGUCCAGACUCCUACGGGAGGCAGCAGUGGGGAAUAUUGGACAAUGGGCGCAAGCCUGAUCCAGCAAUGCCGCGUGUGUGAAGAAGGCCUUCGGGUUGUAAAGCACUUUUAUCGGGGGCGAAAUACCAUUGGCUAAUAACCGAUGGGGCUGACGGUACCCGAGGAAUAAGCACCGGCUAACUUCGUGCCAGCAGCCGCGGUAAUACGAAGGGUGCAAGCGUUAAUCGGAAUUACUGGGCGUAAAGGGUGCGUAGGCGGUUUGUUAAGUCUGUCGUGAAAUCCCCGGGCUCAACCUGGGAAUGGCGAUGGAUACUGGCAAGCUAGAGUGUGUCAGAGGAUGGUGGAAUUUCCGGUGUAGCGGUGAAAUGCGUAGAGAUCGGAAGGAACAUCAGUGGCGAAGGCGGCCAUCUGGGACACACUGACGCUGAGCACGAAAGCGUGGGAGCAACAGGAUUAGAUACCCUGGUAGUCCACGCCCUAACGAUGCGACUGGAUGUGGUCUCACUCGGAGAUCAGUGUCGAGCUACGCGU